ACAACACCGACAUGCAGCACGAGCUAUGGAGGACAGCGAGGUAAACACGACUCGAUCUGAAAAAAGAAAAUGCAGCUAUAACAGAGACUGGGAAACUAUUUACCCCUGGGGGAAACCAGUGCAAGGUGACUCUUGUAAAGUUUUUGUGAAGUUUGUUUGAGUCAUUUUUCCGUUUCACACGGAGGUGAAUACGAUGUGAAUAGACACAGACAAUGCGAGACUCACAAAAAACGUGUAGCUCAAAAGGAGACUUCCCAGUGUAUGCAUACGUUCCUGCUAAAACCCAAACUAGAUUCAAGCGUAGAUAAAGUAACAGCAGCUGAACUAACUAGCGUUUACCACACUGUGAAACACUCCCUAUCAUACAGGUCAGAAGACUGCGGUAAUAAGCUAACAUCGACCAUGUUUCCAGACUCUGAGAUUGCAAAAAAAAUGUCAUGUGGUCGUACAAAGGCAGCAUCCAUAGUUACAGAUGUGCUUGCACCUGCCUCUGUGGAGAGUUGUUUAAAGGAAUUAAAAACGCCUGUGGUUCAAGAAGUCACAAGUGAUGAAAAAAUCCACACACCAUUUUUUUCAGUGGCUUCAGAUGCAUCUAACCAUGGCACCACAAAACUCUUCCCACUGUCUUUGAGAUAUUGGACACCAGAGCUGGGUUUGAAAAACAAAAUCCUUGAUUUUUAUGAAGAUAGCCAUGAGUCAGCUGCUACCAUACACCGCCAGAUUACAAGCAAGCUAGAGGAAAAUGGCCUACAACUGGACAUGAUUUCAGCUUAUGCUGCUGAUAAUGCUAGUGUAAACUAUGGGAAAAAUAAUUCUGUUUUCCAAAAGCUAAAGGCAGACAACAAUCGCAUCAUCAAGGCAAACUGUAUGGCCCAGGAUGGCCCUAGAAGCUGCAUGCUCAAGCAAAAAGUACAAAGUCAAGAGUAACAUCUAAGAUGCAUUCUCUGGUGCUAGAAGUACAUUGUCUGUGUGGGCCCAGCCUGCCUGCAGUUGUUGGUGUGAUGGAGAAAACUGAAAGACCUAUGAUGGACAGAAGUUCAAAAAAUCAGCCAGGUGUUCUUCUUGGUGCUGAAAGAGCAUUGAUUGUGUUAUGAUAAAUGGAUGGAUAGAUGAUUAUUUAAUAUAUUUUUUGUUUCCUCUUGACCAAUUUUGAUUUGUAUUUCUGGUUUUAUUUGUUUUUUUUAUUAAUUUAUGUAAUUGCUAAUUUUAUACCCAGUGGUGCCUUUAGAUUAGUAAAUGUUUUUUUGUAGUCAAUUUACGUGAUUCUCGUUUGACUGAGUUUUGUUUUGUGCAGAUAAACAGCCUAUGCUGCAUUAUCCAGUACAUGGUCAAUUUGUUCUACUAGAAAAAAGGACUAAUGUGGUGUUUGGUUUGUGCUGGAGUUGUUGUUGCUCUCUGUUGUUCGAGAAAACUGGAAAGCCGUAUCCCUAAGCACAUUAAAGAACUGUCUGUUCUGUUAAGUUUCUUUCAUUUAUUUAUAUAUAUUUAAACACAUUAUUAUUUGCAGUUUUAUGUGCUAAAGGGGCAGAAUAGAGAUGUUUAAUUUAAAGUUAUUUUACCCUAUUACACACUAUUUUAUCUCGAUGCAUUAGUGUCCCACAUUCUCCCACACAAACAUAGUUUGUCCCACAUCUUUGUCCCACAUCUGGUAAAUUGGAAUCUGGUCACCCUACACGUGAAUUCCAUUAAAAAUUUUGAACAACAGAGGGACGUAACCUCGUAACCUUGAAGUGAAGAUGGUUUGCCAAGAGAAAUGGUACAAAAUACAACCACAAUGCUACAUUACUUCUUACUGUAGACAUCUCAAAGCUGUAAUUGGCACUACUACUACUAAUAUUAUUCAUUUCAUGUCUGAAUACCUUUUAGCUAUAAAUGUUUACAUUUUUUAUAUCUUUGUUUAUGCUUAUGCUUGAAUAUGCACUUUUUUGUUCAUAUUUAAAAAUACAAAGUCAAAAGACAUUAUGUGUGUAAAUUUAAAGUGAAUGGUAACACUUUACUAUAGGUAUUAUUCAUAAUGUUACAUGACACCUACACAAGCCUGUCAUGACACCUGACAUAACCCUACAUAAAUGAUUCUUAAUGCUUAUUCCAAUAGCUAGCGUUUGCUAUGAAGUUACAUUUGCCAAGUUUGAUCAAAGUUAGCUAAAGUAGCCUUUAUGACAUGACUUAACCUUACAUAAAUAUAUAUGGAUGGAUGGAUGUCUGUUGUCAUGAAAAACGUAUGUAGGUGUCAUGCAGCCUUAUAAACAGUAAAAUGUUACCAAUAGAAUAUAUGCACCAAAAGCAUAUUAAAUAACAAAAAGUAUCUGCAUGCUGGUUUACCCUAACUGUAAAAAUAAAAUAUUGCUUACAUCCUCAAA
Long non-coding RNA from Pygocentrus nattereri (red-bellied piranha), 2360 nucleotides. RefSeq lists it as uncharacterized. Lineage: Eukaryota; Metazoa; Chordata; Actinopteri; Characiformes; Serrasalmidae. The transcript has 2 exons. The record is from RefSeq and is a predicted model, not a curated record.